Molecule: ribosomal RNA, 301 nt
Filed under: uncultured bacterium
Lineage: Bacteria
Description: partial 16S ribosomal RNA
Rfam family: Bacterial small subunit ribosomal RNA
Source: RNAcentral
CAGUAGCCGCGGUAAUACAGAGGGUGCAAGCGUUAAUCGGAAUUACUGGGCGUAAAGUGCGCGUAGGUGGUUUGUUAAGUUGGAUGUGAAAUCCCCGGGCUCAACCUGGGAACUGCAUCCAAAACUGGCAAGCUAGAGUAUGGUAGAGGGUGGUGGAAUUUCCUGUGUAGCGGUGAAAUGCGUAGAUAUAGGAAGGAACACCAGUGGCGAAGGCGACCACCUGGACUGAUACUGACACUGAGGUGCGAAAGCGUGGGGAGCAAACAGGAUUAGAUACCCGAGUAGUCCCUGUCUCUUAUAC